UGAGGAAUAUUGGGCAAUGCCCGCAAGGGUGACCCAGCAACGCCGCGUGGAGGAUGAAUGUCGUAAGAUUGUAAACUCCUGUUAGAGGGGAAGAAUAGUACCGGUUGGACCGGUAUAUGACUGUACCCUCAGAGAAAGCCCCGGUUAACUACGUGCCAGCAGCCGCGGUAAUACGUAGGGGGCAAGCGUUGUCCGGAUUUACUGGGUGUAAAGGGCGCGCAGGCGGGAUAAAAAGUCAGUGGUGGAAUCCUACAGCUUAACUGUAGAACUGCCUUUGAUACUUUUAGUCUUGAGUUCGGGAGAGGGAGACGGAAUUCCAGGUGUAGUGGUGAAAUACGUAGAUAUCUGGAAGAACACCAGUUGCGAAGGCGGUCUCUUGGUCCGACACUGACGCUGAGGCGCGAAAGCGUGGG
RNAcentral lists this ribosomal RNA (413 nucleotides) under uncultured bacterium. RNAcentral's name for it is "bacterial SSU rRNA". It matches the Rfam family "Bacterial small subunit ribosomal RNA", at positions 355 to 765 of the family's 1533-position model. The record is from RNAcentral.